This 2288-nucleotide long non-coding RNA is filed under the name Pogona vitticeps (central bearded dragon). Its description in RNAcentral is "lncRNA (ENSPVIG00000005573.1)". The record is from RNAcentral. Lineage: Eukaryota; Metazoa; Chordata; Lepidosauria; Squamata; Agamidae.
GACCCCAGCUGUGAUACAAGGACAUCUGCAAGUGGGAUCUGAAGGCCUUAGGAAUGGACCUCAACAGAUGGGAAACCUUGACCUCUGAGCAUUCAGCCUGGUGGUGCAUCAUGGCCUCUCCCAAUUUGAAGAGACCCUCGUCCAGCAGGCUGAGGCAAAGAGGCAGUUACGAAAGCAGCAAAAUCAGGGAGCUGGACAGGGGACAGAUUGGAUUUGUCUUCAGUGUGGAAGGGACUGUCACUCUCGAAUUGGGCUUCUCAGCCACACUAGAUGACACUGUCCAACCAUCUCAUCCUCUAGGUUCAGGACUUGUUUGGUGGGCCCCGUUUUCAUCUCACUAUUACACUUAGCACUGCCUGUUUGGUUAUGUGCCUCUGAGCCCAGGAUCUGCCUGGUUUCAUUGAGUGAGAGGGCCCCGAAGUUGGCAUCAUGCCCCUGUUGAAGCAACAGGGUUUGGCUGGCCCCCCAACACUGCCAGUUUCUGGCCCUACAGACAAAGAAGGAGCAGCUACUAAGCUUUCAUGGCCGGCUUCUACUGUUUUCUUGUUUACCAGGAGACUCAGAAGGAGAAAAGCUGCAGAGAUACCACUGGGAAACCCUCCUCGCUUUGUUUCAACCAUCCCAUGUUGCUACCCUUGAAUGAAUGCAAAGGGUUAAAACAGCUAGCCCUUGCAAUGUCCACAGAAGAUUACCUUUUGCAAUCUCAGCCUUUUGCAAUCUCAGCCAGCCCCCUGCACGCCUCAUGGUCAUUUUUUUUUCUCCCUGUUAAAAGGGUCCCCUGGCAGCUGUCCUCGGCAUUCAUCCAGCAGAUAUCAGCUCGUAUUGGCACACGAGCUGGAGCUGCAUGACCUGUUUCCUCCCCCCCUCGCAUCUUGACAGCAGAAGCAUUGUUCCUGGGGCGUACCCAGAAUUUGCAAUGGGUUGCCGUUGUUGGCUAGGCCUGGCCUUUCUUCUGGUGCUAGCCGCCCCCAGCUCCCCAACUGGUGAUGUGGCUAUGGUGAAGAGACAUGCCGCCGACCUGCGGGCACUCUUCUCAGAAGAAGAAGACAGUGCAGAAGCACAAGAGGAGGAGCGCCGCCUGAUGCCCACAUUCAAUACUUGCAUGCUUCAUUGUAUUUCCCAAGCGAUGUCGAGCACGGUGAGCAUAAAAAGAAGCAUGACACUCUCUCAAGGCACGCAAGGUAAGGACCAUGAAUUUUGCUGGGGGCUGCGCCUCCGUUCCAGGAAGGGAAAAAGGCUCACCAAAGCCUUUCUGUUCUUCAACCUUGAGCAGCCUCUGAAUGGGAGCCAGCCAUCUUCUUACCACCUCCUUCUCACCACUCCUCCGGCACAGCUUCAGCAUGUGUCACCCGGGCAGGGGAAUUGGACCACCAGGCUGUUGAGCAGCAAAGCGUGCGGCCUCCACUUCGAUGUGACGGAGCCGUUCCGCCGUGCUGAAGGAGGCCAGGACACUGAGAUGUGCGUCCAGGCCAUCCGCCCAAAGGAAGGUGUCUGGGAGGCCUUUCAGCUUCGCCUGCAGUGCCCGCCUUUUUUGGCCGCUUUGUGGCGAAGGCUUCUCCGGCCUGAUGGCUAGGUGACCAGAACGGAGAUCCACCUUUGCUCCGUAAUGGAGGGUGACACCUAGCAAUUGGGGGAUGAAAGGUGGGAGGGAGGUAGCCCAGAUUCAUAUGCGCACUCUCACACUCCAGUUCAACUGCUGAGAUGCCAGAGGCAGCACCAUGACAGACUUUAUUACUACACAAGUCUUCCUAACUCCAGCAGCAUAUAAUACGUUGAACUAACAGCACCAUGACAGACUACACAAGUCUUCCCAACUCCAGCAGCAUAUAAUACGUUGAACUACAAAGCCUAUAGUUACUAGUCAUGCUGGUUCACAAGACUGUUAUUGUACUAUGCUACCUCUGGAGAGUGCAAAGUUGGGAAAGAGUCACGUGGUGUCAUCAGAUUUCAAUGAGCUGGGUGUCAUCUUUUUCCAUUAAUGUGAGGGUGCCAUUCCCAAGGUUGCGAAGCCACAUGGGUGUUGUAGUGAGGGAAACCUCUCCUAGCAUCCUGUGGCUGGUUCUGAGGGGAGGCGCUGCCAUCAUUCUCCCUCCUUCUCAUUAUCAUAGAGAGCGUGCCAUAGAGGUCUUUCUUUAGGCCAAUCAGAGGGCUUGAUUAAUUGCCUUUCUCCGGACCAACCCUAAUUACAUGAUGUAACCAUUGUCCUAUCUGAACCCUAUUUACUAUCUGUAAUGCUGUCACUACCUGUGACCUUGUGAUGUUAAUAAAAGAGCAGUCUCCUGGGGGCA